Molecule: ribosomal RNA, 711 nt
Filed under: Coniophora puteana
Lineage: Eukaryota; Fungi; Basidiomycota; Agaricomycetes; Boletales; Coniophoraceae
Description: eukaryotic LSU rRNA
Rfam family: 5.8S ribosomal RNA (bases 275-429)
Source: RNAcentral
GAGGAAGUAAAAGUCGUAACAAGGUUUCCGUAGGUGAACCUGCGGAAGGAUCAUUAUCGAUUCAAACCAAAUGAGAGGGAAGUUGUUAUAGUAGUGCUGGCCUCUGUAAUGGAGGUAUUGUGCACGCUCGACUUCUUCCUUUCUUCAUUUACACACCUGUGAACUUGUUGUAGGGUUGUCUCGCAAGAGAUGCUCUAUGUCUUUCUCAUAUACUCCAUAAUGUUUAUAGAAUGUACCUUUUUGCUCUCGUCAGAGACAAAAAUAAAGCCUUUAUAACUUUCAGCAACGGAUCUCUUGGCUCUCGCAUCGAUGAAGAACGCAGCGAAUUGCGAUAUGUAAUGUGAAUUGCAGAUUUUCAGUGAAUCAUCGAAUCUUUGAACGCACCUUGCGCUCCUUGGUAUUCCGAGGAGCAUGCCUGUUUGAGUGUCAUUAAAUUCUCAACUCCCUUUGAUUUCUUCAAAGGCGGGCUUGGAUCUUGGAGGCUUUGCCGGCUUGUGAAAGUCGGCUCCUCUGAAAAGCAUUGGUAAAGACGUAUUGCAUGCCUCUGUAAUGGAGGUGUGUGCUGGCCUCUGUAAUGGAGGUUGGUAUCAGGUCGGCCUUUCGGUGUGAUAAUGAUCACCGUGGCUAGCUGGCUAUUAAUGUCUAUGCCUUACUUGCUACUUUUUCCAUUGACUUGGAAAAAAGCACUUUGACCAUUUGACCUCAAAUCAG